CCCAUAUGGUUAAGUUUAUCAUUUUCAAAAAAUUUAAACACAUUCACAAAUUAACCACAAUGCAGUCACUCAUGUACAAUCAUGUCAUCUAAGGAUAGAAAGCAAGAAGAAUCACAUAGAAUUAAUCUGGAAAACAUCUUAGCUCUCAAAUUCGCUGUCUUCUGUAGUUCAUGAUAACGGCACCCCUCCCAUACUCUAUGCAUGCAUUUACGGUUUGAAUUUUUUACAUUUGGGUAUUGUGUUUUUAGUAAAUUUUAUUUCAAAUUAAGAAAAUAGAUGGUUAAACAAAAUUCCUUAUUCGAUACUGAUUGGCAUCACAUCACACACGAAUUGCACUAUAAGAGAAUGGAAUGACUUAGGUGGCUCACUCAUUAUCGAAUUAAAUUCAUUGAAUCCUGCAUUUACAUCAGAGAUUAAAUUGAUAACGGAAGUGUACAUUCAGAGACUACUAUGUCUUUAAUACUAAGUUAGUAAAGAAGUUAAAGACUAAAGUGACCAUUUACUCUAAAAUCUUGAAAAGCGAAAACUAGAUUGAACAACACUUGUGAUUGGUGAUAUGCAUACAUGCGAACAUACGUCAAAAUUUAAUUUUGGAGCAAUUCUUGACUCUAUACGAUGAAUGACGUCAACAACCAUUGACCCAUUACCAAAACUUCUAAAGAAAAUUAAAAAAAAUUACGUCUCCCAUUUUAUUUUAUUUUUACAAAAACAAAACAAUAUUCAUUCAUUCAAAUCGAUAGAGUCAUUCAACAUCGAUAAAAAUGAAAAAAAAUGAAGCUACGAACAAACUCAAACAUCCAACUUAAUAGCAUAUAAAGACAUAAUGCCUACAACUUAAUAGCAUCCGCAUAUGCAACGUUGAUGCCCAAAUCUUUGAUUGAAUAAUCGAUCUUUCAAUAUAAAAUAAAUGAACACCGCAACAAGACGGGAAAUCAAACAACGUCGCACAAGUAGAAGAACAACAUACCACCACACUCAUAUGACGAAAUCACAAAGAAAAAAUCUAGAUCUAUGUGAAUAUCACUUAUUUACAUUGAAAUAGAGAGAAAAGGAUGAAGAAGAGGCGAUUUCAGGUCAAAAGGUACAAUAGGCAUAUGACCUUUAACAAUGAUAUUUGCACAAUCAUUUUGACACAGUUUUCAAUCUUAUAUUCACAUUGUAUUCUUAUUCUCUCUCAUCCUCUCUCCCUCUCUCUCUCUCUAUAUAUAUAGAGGAAUGCUAGAACACACCCACUCAAUUUUGUGAAGGUGUGUUUUAGCAUGAUGCACCUUUAUGAAAUGGAAAAAAAAAACCACUUUUCCUUUUUAAAAGCUGUUUUAAGUAGGGCCAGUUUUGUAAUUUGAUAUUAAUUUAUUUAUUUUUUUAAAUCAAAAUUGUCCAGAUGUUUUCCUCUUCCACACGCCUGUGUUCUCACGGAAAUGCAUAUCCAGC
RNAcentral lists this long non-coding RNA (1431 nucleotides) under Medicago truncatula (barrel medic). RNAcentral describes it as "long non-coding RNA (MTRU_LNC003386)". The record is from RNAcentral. Lineage: Eukaryota; Viridiplantae; Streptophyta; Magnoliopsida; Fabales; Fabaceae.